UUAUUUUUUUAUUGGUGUUCAAUUACUAACAUACAGAAUAACACCCAGUGCCCGUCACCCAUUCACUCCCACCCCCCGCCCUCCUCCCCUUCUACCACCCCUAGUUCGUUUCCCAGAGUUAGCAGUCUUUACGUUCUGUCUCCCUUUCUGAUAUUUCCCACACAUUUCUUCCCCCUUCCCUUAUUUUCCCUUUCACUAUUAUUUAUAUUCCCCAAAUGAAUGAGAACAUAUAAUGUUGUCCUUCUCCGACUGACUUACUUCACUUAGCAUAAUACCCUCCAGUUCCAUCCACGUUGAAGCAAAUGGUGGGUAUUUGUCAUUUCUAAUAGCUGAGUAAUAUUCCAUUGUAUACAUAAACCACAUCUUCUUUAUCCAUUCAUCUUUCGUUGGACACCGAGGCUCCUUCCACAGUUUUGCUAUCGUGGCCAUUGCUGCUAGAAACAUCGGGGUGCAGGUGUCCCGGCGUUUCAUUGCAUUUGUAUCUUUGGGGUAAAUCCCCAACAGUGCAAUUGCUGGGUCGUAGGGCAGGUAUAUUUUUAACUGUUUGAGGAACCUCCACACAGUUUUCCAGAGUGGCUGCACCAGUUCACAUUCCCACCAACAGUGUAAGAGGGUUCCCUUUUCUCCGCAUCCUCUCCAACAUUUGUUGUUUCCUGCCUUGUUAAUUUUCCCCAUUCUCACUGGUGUGAGGUGGUAUCUCAUUGUAGUUUUGAUUUGUAUUUCCCUGAUGGCAAGUGAUGCAGAGCAUUUUCUCAUAUGCAUGUUGGCCAUGUCUAUGUCUUCCUCUGUGAGAUUUCUGUUCAUGUCUUUUGCCCAUUUCAUGAUUGGAUUGUUUGUUUCUUUGGUGUUGAGUUUAAUAAGUUCUUUAUAGAUCUUGGAAACUAGCCCUUUAUCUGAUAUGUCAUUUGCAAAUAUCUCUCCCAUUCUGUAGGUUGUCUUUGAGUUUUGUUGACUGUAUCCUUUGCUGUGCAAAAGCUUCUUAUCUUGAUGAAGUCCCAAUAGUUCAUUUUUGCUUUUGUUUCUUUUGCCUUCGUGGAUGUAUCUUGCAAGAAGUUACUAUGGCCGAGUUCAAAAAGGGUGUUGCCUGUGUUCUUCUCUAGGAUUUUGAUGGAAUCUUGUCUCACAUUUAGAUCUUUCAUCCAUUUUGAGUUUAUCUUUGUGUAUGGUGAAAGAGAGUGGUCUAGUUUCAUUCUUCUGCAUGUGGAUGUCCAAUUUUCCCAGCACCAUUUAUUGAAGAGACUGUCUUUCUUCCAAUGGAUAGUCUUUCCUCCUUUAUCGAAUAUUAGUUGCCCAUAAAGUUCAGGGUCCACUUCUGGAUUCUCUAUUCUGUUCCACUGAUCUAUGUGUCUGUUUUUGUGCCAGUACCACACUGUCUUGAUGACCACAGCUUUGUAGUACAACCUGAAAUCUGGCAUUGUGAUGCCCCCAGAUAUGGUUUUCUUUUUUAAAAUUCCCCUGGCUAUUCGGGGUCUUUUCUGAUUCCACACAAAUCUUAAAAUAAUUUGUUCUAACUCUCUGAAGAAAGUCCAUGGUAUUUUGAUAGGGAUUGCAUUAAACGUGUAUAUUGCCCUGGGUAACAUUGACAUUUUCACAAUAUUAAUUCUGCCAAUCCAUGAGCAUGGAAUAUUUUUCCAUCUCUUGUGUCUUCCUCAAUUUCUUUCAGAAGUGUUCUAUAGUUUUGAGGGUAUAGAUCCUUUACAUCUUUGGUGAGGUUUAUUCCUAGGUAUCUUAUGCUUUUGGGUGCAAUUGUAAAUGGGAUUGACUCCUUAAUUUCUCUUUCUUCAGUCUCAUUGUUAGUGUAUAGAAAUGCCACUGACUUCUGGGCAUUGAUUUUGUAUCCUGCCACGCUACCGAAUUGCUGUAUGAGUUCUAGCAAUCUUGGGGUGGAGACUUUUGGGUUUUCUAUGUAGAGUAUCAUGUCAUCGGCGAAGAGGGAGAGUUUGACUUCUUCUUUGCCAAUUUGAAUGCCUUUAAUGUCUUUUUGUUGUCUGAUUGCUGAGGCUAGGACUUCCAGUACUAUGUUGAAUAGCAGUGGUGAGAGUGGACAUCCCUGUCUUGUUCCUGAUCUUAGGGGAAAGGCUCCCAGUGCUUCCCCAUUGAGAAUGAUAUUUGCUGUGGGCUUUUCGUAGAUGGCUUUUAAGAUGUCGAGGAAUGUUCCCUCUAUCCCUACACUCUGAAGAGUUUUGAUCAGGAAUGGAUGCUGUAUUUUGUCAAAUGCUUUCUCUGCAUCCAAUGAGAGGAUCAUAUGGUUCUUGGUUUUUCUCUUGCUGAUAUGAUGAAUCACAUUGAUUGUUUUACGGGUGUUGAACCAGCCUUGUGUCCCAGGGAUAAAUCCUACUUGGUCAUGGUGAAUAAUUUUCUUAAUGUACUGUCGGAUCCUAUUGGCCAGUAUCUUGUUGAGAAUUUUUGCAUCCAUGUUCAUCAGGGAUAUUGGUCUGUAAUUCUCCUUUUUGGCGGGGUCUUUGUCUGGCUUUGGAAUUAAGGUGAUGCUGGCUUCAUAGAACGAAUUUGGAAGUACUCCAUCUCUUUCUAUCUUUCCAAACAGCUUUAGGAGAAUAGGUAUGAUUUCUUCUUUAAACGUUUGAUAAAAUUCUCCUGGGAAGCCAUCUGGCCCUGGACUCUUGUGUCUUGGGAGGUUUUUGAUGACUGCUUCAAUUUCCUCCCUGGUUAUUGGCCUGUUCAGGUUUUCUAUUUCUUCCUGUUCCAGUUUUGGUAGUUUGUGGCUUUCCAGGAAUGCGUCCAUUUCUUCUAGAUUGCCUAAUUUAUUGGCGUAUAGCUGUUCAUAAUAUGUUUUUAAAUCGUUUGUAUUUCCUUGGUGUUGGUAGUGAUCUCUCCUUUCUCAUUCAUGAUUUUAUUAAUUUGAGUCUUCUCUCUCUUCUUUUUAAUAAGGCUGGCUAAUGGUUUAUCUAUCUUAUUAAUUCUUUCAAAGAACCAACUCCUGGUUCUGUUGAUCUGUUCCACAGUUCUUCUGGUCUCGAUUUCGUUGAGUUCUGCU
This 2995-nucleotide long non-coding RNA is filed under the name Canis lupus familiaris (dog). RNAcentral describes it as "lncRNA (ENSCAFG00000053875.1)". Lineage: Eukaryota; Metazoa; Chordata; Mammalia; Carnivora; Canidae. The record is from RNAcentral.